CUGUUUUAUUGUCUGUGGCAUGCAUGAAAGUGGACAAUUCUUUAUAUAUAGGUGGUAUAAUAUUAAUACAGGUUCACUUUAUAUGAAAUGUACUACAGAGGGAUCUAAAAUUUGUGGUCUUUUAACAUAGGUGUUUGCUGAAUACAUGUGGUCUCUUUAAGUCAUAAGAAACGAGUGACUGUGAAAAAUAAUGUUCUUCCAAUUCUUGAACCAAUGCAUACAAACAUCAUAAACUUAGUCUUCUGUGUACGAAUUUAUCAUUUUUUUCGUGUAAAUUUCGUAUAAUCGUCAAUUUUUUUUUUCAAUCGGUCAGUGUUGUGAAAAUAUGGCAGGUAAUUAAAGUUCGUGUUUUGAAGCCGAAGUUUAACGAUUGUCACCUGUUUGUCAACAAUGGACAAAAAAAUCAACAAAAAAGCAGGGAAAUUGAGCACGUCUUUAACAUGUAAAUUCAGAUAAUAGUUUAUUUUAAGGACAUCCAUUCGUAUUGUGAUCACCGGAUUGUUAC
RNAcentral lists this long non-coding RNA (505 nucleotides) under Mytilus galloprovincialis (Mediterranean mussel). The record is from RNAcentral. Lineage: Eukaryota; Metazoa; Mollusca; Bivalvia; Mytilida; Mytilidae.